Molecule: microRNA, 24 nt
Filed under: Macaca mulatta (Rhesus monkey)
Lineage: Eukaryota; Metazoa; Chordata; Mammalia; Primates; Cercopithecidae
Description: Mml-Mir-430-P30_5p (mature (co-guide))
Source: RNAcentral
CCUCCAAAGGGAAGCACUUUCUGU